This 410-nucleotide long non-coding RNA is filed under the name Capra hircus (goat). Its description in RNAcentral is "lncRNA (ENSCHIG00010017428.1)". Lineage: Eukaryota; Metazoa; Chordata; Mammalia; Artiodactyla; Bovidae. The record is from RNAcentral.
AUGAAACUGAUGCUGAGAAUGGCAUCUGACCCUCUGAAGUUUGUCCACAAGGUUCUCAACCAUUCAGAGAUGAGCCCCCAAGACACUGAGGUCUGCCUUGAAGCAGCCUCAACAUCACCCUUAGAAGCAGCAUCCAGACCUAUGAUGGGACCUAUAAGUACCAUCUGCCCUUGUUUUGACCACACAUCUCCAGCUCUUUAUGCAAGUGUGGCCUCACGUCCAGAUUCAGAGAGUUCAGAGAAUUGUCCUGAGAGCCUGCUCUUUUACAGCUCAAUGAAGGAUGAUGAUGCAGUGGAGACCAAGUCAUACCACCUGUUUCCAAGUGUCCCAGAGCCUUUUAAGAGAGGAGGCAAAUACAUAAAUAUUAACAGAUGAUGGUUUUGCAAGUAAUUUCCAUGGAACUUGUCAAG